AAAUUAUAAUCCCAUGAACAUGCACCCAAUAGAAAAGCAGCUACAAUUCUGUCUUAACAAAAUCCAAAAAUGGGCCAAUGAAAAUGGCUUUAAGUUUUCAAAAUCCAAAACAAAUUGUAUUUAC
Long non-coding RNA from Haliotis rubra (blacklip abalone), 124 nucleotides. RefSeq lists it as uncharacterized. Lineage: Eukaryota; Metazoa; Mollusca; Gastropoda; Lepetellida; Haliotidae. The record is from RefSeq and is a predicted model, not a curated record. The transcript has 3 exons.